AGAACGAACGCUGGCGGCAUGCUUAACACGUGCAAGUCGAACGAGACCUUCGGGUCUAGUGGCGCACGGGUGCGUAACGCGUGGGAAUCUGCCCUUAGGUACGGAAUAACUCAGAGAAAUUUGUGCUAAUACCGUAUGAUGUCGAAAGACCAAAGAUUUAUCGCCUAAGGAUGAGCCCGCGUAAGAUUAGCUUGUUGGUGAGGUAAAAGCUCACCAAGGCGACGAUCUUUAGCUGGUCUGAGAGGAUGAUCAGCCACACUGGGACUGAGACACGGCCCAGACUCCUACGGGAGCAGCAGGUGGGAAUAGUUGGACAAGUGGGACGAAACGCC
Molecule: ribosomal RNA, 332 nt
Filed under: uncultured soil bacterium
Lineage: Bacteria
Description: bacterial SSU rRNA
Rfam family: Bacterial small subunit ribosomal RNA
Source: RNAcentral